This 253-nucleotide ribosomal RNA is filed under the name uncultured bacterium. RNAcentral describes it as "partial 16S ribosomal RNA". It matches the Rfam family "Bacterial small subunit ribosomal RNA", at positions 524 to 776 of the family's 1533-position model. The record is from RNAcentral.
UACGGAGGGGACUAGCGUUGUUCGGAAUUACUGGGCGUAAAGCGCACGUAGGCGGAUUUGUAAGUCAGGGGUGAAAUCACGGGGCUCAACCUCGGAACUGCCUUUGAUACUGCAAAUCUCGAGUCCGGAAGAGGUGAGUGGAAUUCCUAGUGUAGAGGUGAAAUUCGUAGAUAUUAGGAAGAACACCAGUGGCGAAGGCGGCUCACUGGUCCGGUACUGACGCUGAGGUGCGAAAGCGUGGGGAGCAAACAGG